Molecule: non-coding RNA, 1077 nt
Organism: Cucurbita pepo subsp. pepo (vegetable marrow)
Lineage: Eukaryota; Viridiplantae; Streptophyta; Magnoliopsida; Cucurbitales; Cucurbitaceae
Source: RefSeq, a predicted model, not a curated record
AUCAAGAUUCACAAUGAUUUUUGAGAGUUCAUGUUUUUUUUUGAAGCUGGUUUGAUUGAGAAUCUUGAUGAUGCUGCAUUAGCAAUAGCUUCAAUGGCUAUAUAUAUAUAUGUAUAUAUCUUGGGAUCUCAACAAUCUCAUACUCACAAAGGCAAGAUUUUGACUUCCUGAGAUUCAAUCCAACAAAAGCUGGUCAAUCUCAAAGAUCUUAUCCCGGAGACAAAGGGUCAAACAGGAGACCUUUCAGUGUUGUCAAAACAACAAUUUAAGGCAAAUUCGAGAGAAAAUUUCUAAAUCUCAACUGGGUUGUCUUUUUUUGUUUUUCAUUGUUUCAUUUCUUCUCGGUUACUUAGGUUGAACAGGAGUUGUUUCAGUUACUCGUGAAUUUUCAAGCCACUCGAUUCAUGUUGUAGGCAAGAUUUUGACUCCUUGAGAUUCAAUCGAUCGAGUACAAACAAAAGCUGGUCAAUCUCAAAUAUCUUAUCCUGGAGACAAAGGGUCGAACAGGAGACCUUUCAGUGCUAUCAAAACAACAAUUUAGGCAAAUUCGAGAGAAAUUUUCUAAAUCUCAACUGGGUUUUCUUUUUUUCAUCGUUUCAUUUCAUCCCAGUUACUCGUAGUUUGUAAGCACGCUUCCAAGUCUCUGAAUUUCAAUCAACCGAAUGUCUACAAAUGUCGAUCAACCUCAAAGAUCUUAUCAGCUGACAAACCAGAGACAGUAGAUAGAACAAGAGCAAGACGGGAUUCAUCGAAAACAUAAUCGAAAACAAAAGGGUUUUUUGUUUCUCUCUCUCUCUUUGUUGUUUUUGUGGGUCUAGAGAGAGAGAUUGAAUGAGUGAUAUGAAUCUUCUCGUACAAUUUUAGGGUUUGAAUGUUGCAGAUAAUUGAUUGAGGAUUGGCAAUUGGAAGAGAUAGGGCAAACGACACACGAGUUCAAGGCUGUUUUGAGUCUUCCGUACUGGUGUUGCUGUCCCACAUCGGCUGUGCCCAACAAAUUGGGUCCUCAAAAAACCCUACAUAUAAAUAUUCUAUCUGUGCCCACUUCAAAAUAACAUAUUUAUUUUCCAUCUUUAAUAA